GACGAACGCUGGCGGCGUGCUUAACACAUGCAAGUCGAACGCUGAAGCUUGGUGCUUGCUCUGGGUGGAUGAGUGGCGAACGGGUGAGUAAUACGUGAGUAACCUGCCCUUGACUCUGGGAUAAGCCUGGGAAACUGGGUCUAAUACUGGAUACGACAUGUCACCGCAUGGUGGUGAGUGGAAAGGGGUUUACUGGUUUUGGAUGGGCUCACGGCCUAUCAGCUUGUUGGUGGGGUAAGGGCACACCAAGGCGACGCCGGGUAGCCGGCCUGAGAGGGUGACCGGCCACACUGGGACUGAGACACGGCCCAGUCUCCUACGGGAGGCAGCAGUGGGGAAUAUUGCACAAUGGGCGGAAGCCUGAUGCAGCGACGCCGCGUGAGGGAUGACGGCCUUCGGGUUGUAAACCUCUUUCAGCACGGAAGAAGCGAAAGUGACGGUACGUGCAGAAGAAGCGCCGGCUAACUACGUG
RNAcentral lists this ribosomal RNA (472 nucleotides) under uncultured bacterium. RNAcentral's name for it is "partial 16S ribosomal RNA". It matches the Rfam family "Bacterial small subunit ribosomal RNA", at positions 28 to 507 of the family's 1533-position model. The record is from RNAcentral.